UGUACCUAGAUAAAAUUUAUCGAUCUUGAUAGAAAAAGAGCAGUCCUAUGUGAUUUACAAGAUUGAGUUCAGAAAGUCUUUGAUCAAAGCAAGUAUGAAUACUAUAAAAAAAUUUUCAUGGGAUUCACAAAUAAACUCGAGUCGAGCUAAUCUUACAUAAGAUUGACGAUGGGGUUUGACGAGUUCUCCAUUACCUCCCUCA
RNAcentral lists this long non-coding RNA (202 nucleotides) under Elaeis guineensis (African oil palm). RNAcentral describes it as "long non-coding RNA (EGUI_LNC014288)". The record is from RNAcentral. Lineage: Eukaryota; Viridiplantae; Streptophyta; Magnoliopsida; Arecales; Arecaceae.